RNAcentral lists this unclassified non-coding RNA (430 nucleotides) under Hevea brasiliensis (rubber tree). Lineage: Eukaryota; Viridiplantae; Streptophyta; Magnoliopsida; Malpighiales; Euphorbiaceae. The record is from RNAcentral.
AAUUAGAAGCAGGAAGAAGAAAAGGGACAGUUUGGGUUUGAACAGAGGAGCAAAUGAGAAGAAAGCGAAGAAAGGAAACAAUCAUCAUAGUUCAAGCAAUAGAUUACGAGAUGGGUUAAAGCACAGGUUGUUGGCUUUGGGUAGAGAGGUAUUGAUGCAGAGAUCAACGGUGGAGAAGCAGAGGAGGAAGCUAGGAGAGGAAGAGCAAGCAGCUGUGCUACUAAUGGCUCUAUCUUAUGGCUCAGUGUAUGCUUAGGAGGGGUAAUAAUGGAAUCAAGAAUUGUUGUAUUAGCUGACCCAAUUAAGUUGAAAUGUCAAGUGUAUGUUGUUCAUUUUUUUGAGGUGUUGAUUUUACAAGCUUUUGUGCUAACUGUAUUUUGGGGUUUCGGAAGGAAUUCAAGCAACCGGAUAUUGUUUGUCUGCUCUAAAA